This 1533-nucleotide long non-coding RNA is filed under the name Homo sapiens (human). Its description in RNAcentral is "HSALNT0340210". Lineage: Eukaryota; Metazoa; Chordata; Mammalia; Primates; Hominidae. The record is from RNAcentral.
GCCCACUUGAGGAGGAAGUCUGCCCGUUCUCAGAUCUCCAGCUGCAUGCUGGGAGAACCACUGCUCUCUUCCAAGCUGUCAGACAGGGACAUUUAAGUCUGCAGAGGUUACUGCUGUCUUUUUGUUUGUCUGUGCCCUGCCCCCAGAGGUGGAGCCUACAGAGGCAGGCAGGCCUCCUUGAGCUGUGGCGGGCUCCACCCAGUUCGAGCUUCCCGGCUGCUUUGUUUACCUAAGCAAGCCUGGGCAAUGGCGGGCGCCCCUCCCCCAGCCUCGCUGCCGCCUUGCAGUGUGAUCUCAGACUGCUGUGCUAGCAAUCAGCGAGACACCGUGGGCGUAGGACCCUCUGAGCCAGGUGUGGGAUAUAAUCUUGUGGUGCGCCGUUUUUAAAGCCGGUCUGAAAAGCGCAAUAUUCGGGUGGGAGUGACCCGAUUUUCCAGACACCAGUGACUGAACCUGACAAAGAUUUAUUUGCCACAAAUGAAAAGUCUACUGAGAUUGGCCAGCCUUCCUCCACAUCAGAUGAAAUUGCGUCAUCUGAAACACUGGCCAUCAUGUUUAUAUGCUGCCAAAGCACCACUGUCUACUAAGUUUUUGAGGAAACCAUAUUGCUAGAGAAACUGCAAGCCUGAGCAGCCUCCAAUUGUUGAAGACUUACAUCCAUCUUGGACCUCCAAACAUUCAUAAGCAGGAAGCAGGCCUCAAAAACUAUGGCCCCCAAAUGAGGGCUUGUUCCCCAACCCCCACUUUAGACAUGGAGAAGAAGAAUAAUGGACAAGGAGGCUCCUCCCAGAAGGAUCCAAGGACCCCUGAGGUUGGUGGACAAUGGACUUCCAGCACAGAUUGGAAUCAGAACACAAUCAAGGACACUGUCUCUCCAAUAGAAACUCUUCCUAUGUCUGCCCAGAGUAAUUCCUUAACUGUGAUGGACAAAGAGCUGUGGCAUCAUUGCUUUCCAUUUUUUGAAUGAAAGUUAUGGUGCAGUAAUCCUUUCCCUGCUCCAGCAGGUGAGGGGGUGGCAGAGAGGGGCCAAUAAUUUGUCAUUUUGUUCCUAGAUUGCCAGACCAAGAGGAGCUAUGUCUUGGUCUGCAAAAAAGAACCAGACAUUGCCACAAAUCCUGGGCUUGAGCUGAAUGCAGGGACUGGUGGGUUUCUCUGUUGUGUCCCUUGGAGAGGGAGUGAAGACUUCUUAUGCAGUGCCUCUCAACAUAUUCUAACCUUCCUGCCUGCUAGGCUUGCCAUGUGUUGUGUUCCAGACAGUAAAAUUUAAGCAGAAGUUCUGACUUUCUUACUGCUGGGCUAAGGUAGUUACGUACUAGUGUACUAGUGUGUCUCCCCACAAUGAACCUCCCACCUUCUUCCCACAAAGCCCAAGGGAUAAAAUUCAGGGCAAAUUAGAAUCCAAAAGAAGGAGCCACAAAGUGGAAGAAACCUGGAUGCCUGAGUCACUAUGUGGGGAAAACACCAACUAAAAAGCUUUAUGUGAUCCACAUUUGAUAUGAGUGAGAAAUAAAUUUUUGAUUGUUUUAGGCCAUU